ACGGGAGGCAGCAGUGAGGAAUAUUGGGCAAUGGGCAUAAGCCUGACCCAGCGACGCCGCGUGAGGGAAGAAGGUCUUCGGAUUGUAAACCUUAGUUAUCGGGGAAGAAGGAAGUGACGGUACCCGAAGAGAAAGCCACGGCUAACUACGUGCCAGCAGCCGCGGUAAUACGUAGGUGGCAAGCGUUGUCCGGAUUUAUUGGGUGUAAAGGGUGUGUAGGCGGGACGGCAAGUCAGAUGUGAAAACUAUGGGCUUAACCCAUAGCCUGCAUUUGAAACUGUUGUUCUUGAGAGUCGGAGAGGUAAAUGGAAUUCCUGGUGUAGCGGUGAAAUGCGUAGAUAUCAGGAGGAACACCGGUGGCGAAGGCGAUUUACUGGACGACAACUGACGCUGAGACACGAAAGCGUGGGGAGCAAACAGGAUUAGAUACCCUGGUA
RNAcentral lists this ribosomal RNA (437 nucleotides) under uncultured Oscillospiraceae bacterium. RNAcentral describes it as "bacterial SSU rRNA". It matches the Rfam family "Bacterial small subunit ribosomal RNA", at positions 341 to 792 of the family's 1533-position model. Lineage: Bacteria; Bacillati; Bacillota; Clostridia; Eubacteriales; Oscillospiraceae. The record is from RNAcentral.